AAUAGAUACCCGGGUAGUCCUAGCUGUAAACGGUGCACGUUUGCUGUAAGAGGAAUCGACCCCUUUUGUGGCGAAGCUAACGCGCUAAACGUGCCGCCUGGGGAGUACGGUCGCAAGAUUAAAACUCAAAGAAAUUGACGGGGGCCUGUACAAGCGGUGGAGUAUGUGGCUUAAUUCGAUGCAACGCGAAGAACCUUACCUGGCCUUGACAUGCACGUAGUAGAAGCCUGAAAGGGUAACGACCCCGCAAGGGGAGCGUGCACAGGUGCUGCAUGGCUGUCGUCAGCUCGUGUCGUGAGAUGUUGGGUUAAGUCCCGCAACGAGCGCAACCCUUGUGUCCUGUUGCCACUCCAACGAGAGUUGGAAGCACUCUGGACAGACUGCCUCGCUUAAACGAGGAGGAAGGUGGGGAUGACGUCAAGUCAGGAUGGCCCUUACGGCCAGGGCUGCACACGUACUACAAUGCCUGGUACAAAGGGAAGCAAGACCGUCAGGUGGAGCAAAUCCCAUAAAACCCAGGCUCAGUUCAGAUU
RNAcentral lists this ribosomal RNA (533 nucleotides) under uncultured bacterium. RNAcentral describes it as "bacterial SSU rRNA". It matches the Rfam family "Bacterial small subunit ribosomal RNA", at positions 777 to 1299 of the family's 1533-position model. The record is from RNAcentral.